This 1262-nucleotide unclassified non-coding RNA is filed under the name Bombus terrestris (buff-tailed bumblebee). Its description in RNAcentral is "misc RNA ENSBTSG00005023305.1". The record is from RNAcentral. Lineage: Eukaryota; Metazoa; Arthropoda; Insecta; Hymenoptera; Apidae.
UUACCGAUAUUAAUAAAAAAGUUCAAUUUGAAUGAAAGCAUGUCUCUAAAUGUUGUAAAAUAGAAUGUAUCGAACACGCACAAACUUUAACACUCGUAAGGAAAUCGUUUCAUUUUAUUAGCUUAGUUCUUUAUUUUAAAUGACAAUUUAAGGAUAAUUUAGUAUGAUAAUUUAAUAUUUAGUAUUUGAUGUCUAACAUUUAGAGGGAAUCUUCCAAUGUAUUUAAUUCUGUGGUAAAUUUAUUUUACACAAAUAUGAGUCUGUUAAUGGUUCUUGUGUCGAUGUUUUACAAGACCAGAGCAAAAGGAACGGGCCGAGGAUGUGAAUACCAUCGCGAAAAAAGAAAUUGGAUUAAGAUUUACGUAAAAGUAUUUAGAGCUACACUAUAUAACCCUCUUAGGUAUGGCUUCGUAUAUUGCGUAAGUUGUCGGUCCGAACCUUUCAGAGUGUAGAUUGUUCAAGCAGCGCUCAUUCUUUCAGAUCGUUGUUGGUUAGCUCAUAUACAUAUACACGAUAAUGAUUACACGUUCGCUAUCUUUUGUGAGAUUAUAAGACAAGUAUAAUUACGUGUUGUACAACCGUUUGUCACGUUCUAUUAGCGAUGAUAAUAUUCUUUAUUAGAUUUUCAACUAAUACUCAUCUUGUUUGCUAUUGCGUGUAAUUUUUCUGUAAAAUUAAGUAAUCUACUAAUUGCUCCUAAAUCUUUAUUUAGCACUGGCUUCUGUAAGCUCUCUAUGAUCUUCUAUCAAAAUCACAUGCAGUUUUUCCAUCGUAUUAUUAAUGAAAUUCUGAGAUAUCAUUUUCAAACUUAAUAAAUUGUACAGCAAUUCCUAAUUAUCCAAUUAGGACAUUGGGAUUCUAUGAUUAAUCUCAUCCGAAUUCACCGUAUGAGCGGAUGUAUUUAGUAUCCAAUGUGUGCUUCGUGUAUUCAACCCUGAGGGGAUAUUUCAAAAGAGAACCUUUUAAAAGUCUAGUAACAUAAGUAGAAUGCAGAGACCCAGCGGGAACAAUAUUUUUAACGACGAGAUAUGCAUAUUACGGUGAAAAUAGUACAAUGUUCUUAUUCAUCGUCAGAUUUCCCUCUACACGCAUACGCUGGUUCUUCCGUUGUACAAAUACAAUUAUUAUUUAUGUUCUGAUAUUUAUAAAUGUUCAAUCACGUAUAUAUUAACAUUUUUACAUCGCUAGGAUACGAUAAAUUAAAAUAAGUACAUUUUGUAUCGAUCUAAAUAUGAUCAUAAAAUUAAUAGACGUAAUUUUAC